GCUCUUUUAUUACCUUUGCCAAGUUGGAUGAGGUCUUCACAUUCUUUGCCGCCAUUCAAUGCAGGUCUUGUCAUAUAUCUUACUCUGUAUCUGGUUCCAGAAGCAUCAGGUGCACUCCAGUCAGACCAGUCAGACAUGAUACAUGGAAGUGGUACUAUAAUACAAAUAUAGAUAAAUUUGAAUACAUAGUUUAAUAUAUUUCAGUAUGUGUCAAUUUCUAAACUAACUAAUAAGGUGAAAUAACAAUAUUAUCCAAGGAAAAUUCAAACUUAUAUAAGACUGAAAAGUUGUUGUCAAUGACUGCCAUACAAGUUCUCUUUUUUUCUGGGAAAAACCAAAUGUGUUGUAUAUGCUUUUAAACAUAUGUUUUUUUGGGUGUCAGUCAGGCCACAUAACCAGUGUAACAAAAAAAAAGUUAAUGAAAAAAGCAAAGUGUUUACAUUUAAUUCUAAUAUGAAAUGCUUCUUUAGCUUUGUAAACAACACUGUGAUAAAAUUCUCGAUAAAAUAUACUCAGAGAUAUACAUAAAAUGGCUGUUAAUAUACUCCCAGUAAAUCUACUAUUUGGAACCUAUUGCAGACCCUUUGUCAAUUUUAUUGUUUUAAAAAGUGCAAUUAAAAAAAGACAAAAUAACUUUUAUUCUUAUUCGUAUGCAUAAUAAAAAGAAGUAAUACACAAGAGCUCGGAGAAAUCAACAAAAUAAAAAUUAAAUAAAAUUCCGUGAUAGUCUAUUAAUCUUUUUGGCACAUUUACUGUAAGUCAUUUCAAAACAUGAAGUCAUACAAAUGAAACAACUAAAGUUGAAAGUUUUCUGUUACGUGAACCAUAGAAAUUCAUAUGAUAUUAUAUUGAAACUUGUUUUUGAGGUAGGUUUGUUUUAUUUGGUUUGAGAAUUUAUAGAAUUAAAAAGUUCCUUUUCUAACAGUUAUUCACAAAAUAACCUACCCAAGCUACAUAUUUAUAAAGAUAUUUGAGCUUUAUCUAACAGGGAGUUAAAAAGAACAGCCACCAACAGUAUACCCACCUCACUUCAGUUUAAAUGACCGGUUUUGUGCUUUAGAAUCAAAAUAAUUCAUGGAAGCCAUAGAUUGUUGGAAAUUUUACACAUGGCCUGGGCCGUGAUAUUUGUUAAUUUUAUCCCUCGCUUACGCUCAGGAUAAUUCAAAUAUCACGGCCCAGGCCAUGUGUAAAUUUCCAACAAUCUAUGGCUUCCAUGAAUUAUUUCUUAAAGAAACAUGACUUCAACUAUGUUAAAAUCAUCAUACCUUUGCCAAGUUGGAUGAGGUCUUCACAUUCUUUUCCACCAUUCAAUGCAGGUCUGACAACAUAUCUUACUCUGAAUCUUGAUCCUGAGGCAUCUGGUGCACUCCAGUCAGACCAGUCAGACAUAAGACAUGGCAAUGGUACUGGAAUAAUAUAAGAGAGUGAAAUAACAAAAUACUUUUUAAAAUAUGGAUAUCUUGUUUCAAAUAUUAUUUUUUUUGCAUAGGUUUAGUGACUUGUUUGUAUUUUGAUUGCUUUUCCUUUUGGUCAUGCUAUUAUCUGUUUUUUUUUUACUUUUACUUCAUGAAUGUCCCUUGAGAAGAUAUUUUCAUAUGUAUAUUCAUUCCAAACUCAAAUCUUUGAUAUUAUGUUGUUCAGUUGUUUCCUUUAAAAGUUGAUGUGUUUCCAUCUGUUUAAGUUUGUAAUCCGGAUUUGUUUUCUCAUAAUUGAUUUUGUAUUUUGUAUACUACUGUUGCCUUUAUUUACCUUUCUUAAGUUGAAUGAGGUCUUCGCAUUCUUUUCCACCAUUAAGAGAUGGUCUUACUACAUAUCUAACUCUGAAGAGGGAUCCAGAAGCAUCUGGUCCAGCCCAUGCAGUCCAGUCACUCAUGAUGCAUGGCAAUUCAG
This 1890-nucleotide long non-coding RNA is filed under the name Mytilus galloprovincialis (Mediterranean mussel). The record is from RNAcentral. Lineage: Eukaryota; Metazoa; Mollusca; Bivalvia; Mytilida; Mytilidae.